Molecule: ribosomal RNA, 486 nt
Filed under: uncultured bacterium
Lineage: Bacteria
Description: partial 16S ribosomal RNA
Rfam family: Bacterial small subunit ribosomal RNA
Source: RNAcentral
AUUGAACGCUGGCGGCAUGCCUUACACAUGCAAGUCGAACGGCAGCACGGGUACUUGCACCUGGUGGCGAGUGGCGAACGGGUGAGUAAUACAUCGGAACAUGUCCUGUAGUGGGGGAUAGCCCGGCGAAAGCCGGAUUAAUACCGCAUACGAUCUACGGAUGAAAGCGGGGGACCUUCGGGCCUCGCGCUAUAGGGUUGGCCGAUGGCUGAUUAGCUAGUUGGUGGGGUAAAGGCCUACCAAGGCGACGAUCAGUAGCUGGUCUGAGAGGACGACCAGCCACGCUGGGACUGAGUACGGGCCGAGACUACUGAGGGAGGCAGCAGUGGGGAAUUUUGGACAAUGGGCUAAAGCCUGAGCCAGCAAUGCCGCGGGGAUGAGGAAGGCGUUCGGGUUGGAAAGGACGGUUGUCCGGAAAGAAAUACUUGGCCCUAAUACGGUCGGGGGAUGACGGUACCGGAAGAAUAAGCACCGGCUAACUACGUG